This 483-nucleotide ribosomal RNA is filed under the name uncultured bacterium. RNAcentral describes it as "partial 16S ribosomal RNA". It matches the Rfam family "Bacterial small subunit ribosomal RNA", at positions 28 to 523 of the family's 1533-position model. The record is from RNAcentral.
GACGAACGCUGGCGGCGUGCUUAACACAUGCAAGUCGAACGAUGAAGCCGGAGCUUGCUCCGGUGGAUUAGUGGCGAACGGGUGAGUAACACGUGAGCAAUCUGCCCUUGACUCUGGGGUAACUGCGGGAAACUGUAGCUAAUACCGGAUACGAGGCCUGGAGGCAUCCCCGGGUCUGGAAAGAAUUUCGGUCAAGGAUGAGCUCGCGGCCUAUCAGCUAGUUGUUGAGGUAAUGGCUCACCAAGGCGACGACGGGUAGCCGGCCUGAGAGGGUGACCGGCCACACUGGGACUGAGACACGGCCCAGACUCCCACGUGAGGCAGCAGUGGGGAAUAUUGCACAAUGGGCGCAAGCCUGAUGCAGCAACGCCGCGUGAGGGAUGAAGGCCUUCGGGUUGUAAACCUCUUUUAGCAGGGAAGAAGCGAAAGUGACGGUACCUGCAGAAAAAGCACCGGCUAACUACGUGCCAGCAGCCGCCGUAA